UCAGUGGCUAUGUCACAGCCUCAUCACAGACCUGAAAAUGGUGGGCAUGAGAGGCAGACGUGUAAUUUCCUCUUUACUACCGCCAGUCAUGUGAUUACAGCCGAGCUCAGGAGGGCCGGGUGAGCAUUGCAGAAAGGCUGUAGCUAGAUAGGAUCCCUAGAGCCAGAGCAGGGUUGGGGAGUGCAACUCUAGGAAAAGCUUCAUUUUCCACACCCACUCCACUCCCAAACAUAAGCUGAAGGUCCCAGUGAACUCCGUUAAAGAAGAAUGAAAAGUCUGAUGCAGCUAUUUAAAAACAGGCAGGCGUCAAGUGGCCAAUGGCAGUCGAGUGCAGCCGGGGCAGCGCUCGGGAAAAUCAUCCACCACCGUCAGCCCUGGAGAGGCAGACCUGGGGUUCCCCGCAGAAGCGGGUGCGGGUCCAUGUAGGCUACCCCGUCAUCUUUGUGCCACGGAGCUAGUUCAUCACGGGGCCUUGCUGAUUCCUUCCCCAGCACGCCUCAACAAUCCCGCUGCUCUCCUGAGACCCAAGCCCUUUCACUCUUUGCUUAGAAGUCCAGCUUUGUUUCCAAACUGUUUUCCCUUUCUCUUCUCCCUACAGCCUCCCUUGACAGGGCAGCUUUAGUGUCCGUGCUUCCCAGAACCAGUGCUGCAUGCUCACCUGCUGGACUCCCCCAGGAUGUAUAGACAUCUCAUAAGAGUGGGGGCUGCCUCUGGGAAGGGACUGGAAAAAGGCUAAGGGGAAGGAGCUCGGGGGCUGGCAAGCCCGGAUGCGACAAAGCACCGAGGUGGGCUUGAAUAUGGAUUUUUCUCCCCAGAACAUCCCUGGGAAUCAUUUCUGUCAGAUGCUUCACUGGAUGUCCCUUGGUCUUUACAGCCAUCUAUCCUCCUUCUCCAACCCCCACCUCGAAUUGCAACUUGCUAUU
Molecule: long non-coding RNA, 923 nt
Filed under: Homo sapiens (human)
Lineage: Eukaryota; Metazoa; Chordata; Mammalia; Primates; Hominidae
Description: novel transcript
Source: RNAcentral